GACGAACGCUGGCGGCGUGCUUAACACAUGCAAGUCGAACGAUGAAGAAAAGAAUUGAAGCUUCGGCAGAAAUUCAUUUCGGAUUAGUGGCAGACGGGUGAGUAACGCGUGAGCAACCUACCUCUUACAAAGGGAUAGCCUCGGGAAACCGGGAUUAAUACCAUAUAACAUUGCGACGAAGCAUUUCGAUGCAAUCAAAGCUACGGCGGUAAGAGAUGGGCUCGCGUCCCAUUAACCAGAUGGUGAGGUAACGGCUCACCAUAGUAACGAUGGGUAACCGGCCUGAGAGGGUGAACGGUCACACUGGAACUGAGACACGGUCCAGACUCCUACGGGAAGCAGCAGUGGGGAAUAUUGCACAAUGGAGGGAACUCUGAUGCAGCGACGCCGCGUGAGUGAUGAAGGAAUUCGUUUCGUAAAACUCUGUUCUAUGGGAAGAAAAGGACUGUACCAUAGGAGAAAGCUCCGGCUAAAUACGUG
Molecule: ribosomal RNA, 480 nt
Filed under: uncultured bacterium
Lineage: Bacteria
Description: partial 16S ribosomal RNA
Rfam family: Bacterial small subunit ribosomal RNA
Source: RNAcentral